UGGAUGUGCCUGAAAGGGAACCGUAACACAGGUGCUGCAUGGCUGUCGUCAGCUCGUGUCGUGAGAUGUUGGGUUAAGUCCCGCAACGAGCGCAACCCUUGCUAUUAAUUGCCAUCAUUAAGUUGGGCACUUUAAUAGGACUGCUGGUGAUAAACCGGAGGAAGGUGGGGAUGACGUCAAGUCCUCAUGGCCCUUAUGGGUAGGGCUUCACACGUCAUACAAUGGCCGGUACAGAGGGAUGCCAACCCGCGAGGGGGAGCCAAUCUCAGAAAGCCGGUCGUAGUCCGGAUUGUUCUCUGCAACUCGAGAGCAUGAAGUCGGAAUCGCUAGUAAUCGCGGAUCAGCAUGUCGCGGUGAAUACGUUCCCGGGUCUUGUACACACCGCCCGUCACACCA
Molecule: ribosomal RNA, 396 nt
Filed under: uncultured bacterium
Lineage: Bacteria
Description: bacterial SSU rRNA
Rfam family: Bacterial small subunit ribosomal RNA
Source: RNAcentral